Molecule: long non-coding RNA, 589 nt
Filed under: Rattus norvegicus (Norway rat)
Lineage: Eukaryota; Metazoa; Chordata; Mammalia; Rodentia; Muridae
Description: long non-coding RNA NONRATT006617
Source: RNAcentral
GGUGCUGUGCGUCGGCGGAUCAGGCGGUCAUGUGGAGCCUCCGCGGCCUGCGCCUGGCGGCUGGACUUCAAGUACUAUGCCUGAUAUAGCUGUCUCCUGAGAGGCUCUGCCAGAGUCCACAAAUACAGAGGCGGAUGUCGAAGCCAACCAUUGAACUGAGAACGGGGUCUCCAAUGGAAGAGUUAGAGAAAAGACUUGAAGUAGCUGACGGGGUUUGCAACCCCAUAAGAAGAACACAGUAUCAACCAACCAGACCCCCCAGAGCUCCCAGGGACUAAACCACCAUUCCAAGAGAACACAGGGAUGGACCUAUGGCUCCAUCCGCAUGUGUAGCAGAGGAUGGCCUUGUUGGGUAUCAGUGGGAGGAGAAACCCUUGGUCCUGAGAAGGCUUGAUGCCCUAGUGUAGAGGAAUGCCAGAGCAGGGAGGUGGGAGGGAGUGGGUGGGUGGGGGAAGGAGCACCCUCAUAGAAGAUGGGGGAUGGGAUGGGAUAGCAUCUGGAGGGGAAACCAGGAAAGGGGAUAACAUUUUAAAUGUAUAUAUUAAAAAAUCCAAUAAAAGAAAAAAAAUACCUGUGGACCUAAGAUGAA